CCUACGGGUGGCAGCAGUAGGGAAUGUUGCGCAAUGGGCGAAAGCCUGACGCAGCAACGCCGCGUGAUCGAGACGCACUUCGGGGUGUAAAGAUCUGUCAGUGGGGACGAAACGUGACGGUACCCACAGAGGAAGCACCGGCUAACUCCGGGCCAGCAGCCGCGGUAAUACGGGGGGGGCAAGCGUUGUCCGGAAUCAUUGGGCGUAAAGAGUUCGUAGGCGGCACGUAAAGUCUGGUGUUAAAGGCAGAGGCUCAACUUCUGUACGGCACUGGAUACUUGCGAGCUAGAAUGCGGUAGAGGUAACGGGCAUUCCUGGUGUAGCGGUGAAAUGCUUAGAUAUCAGGAGGAACAUCGGUGGCGUACGCGCUUUACUGGGCCGUAAUUGACGCUGAGGCACGAAAGCCCGGGUAGCAAAUCGGAUUAGAUACCCUUGUAGUC
This 440-nucleotide ribosomal RNA is filed under the name uncultured bacterium. RNAcentral describes it as "partial 16S ribosomal RNA". It matches the Rfam family "Bacterial small subunit ribosomal RNA", at positions 338 to 795 of the family's 1533-position model. The record is from RNAcentral.